UUGGGAAUAUUGGACAAUGGGAGAAAUCCUGAUCCAGCAAUGCCGCGUGAAUGAUGAAGGCCUUCGGGUCGUAAAGUUCUUUCAGCGGGGACGAAGGGAAACUUGACGGUACCCGCAGAAGAAGCACCGGCUAACUACGUGCCAGCAGCCGCGGUAAUACGUAGGGUGCAAGCGUUGUUCGGAAUCAUUGGGCGUAAAGCGCGUGUAGGCGGUUUCCUAAGUCUGGUGUGAAAUCCCGGGGCUUAACCCCGGAAGUGCAUUGGAUACUGGGUAACUAGAGGACGAGAGAGGGAAGCGGAAUUCCUGGUGUAGGGGUGAAAUCCGUAGAUAUCAGGAGGAACAUCGGUGGCGAAGGCGGCUUCCUGGCUCGUUUCUGACGCUGAGAUGCGAAAGCGUGGGGAGCAAACAGG
Molecule: ribosomal RNA, 410 nt
Filed under: uncultured bacterium
Lineage: Bacteria
Description: bacterial SSU rRNA
Rfam family: Bacterial small subunit ribosomal RNA
Source: RNAcentral